RNAcentral lists this ribosomal RNA (497 nucleotides) under Planctomycetaceae bacterium. RNAcentral's name for it is "bacterial SSU rRNA". It matches the Rfam family "Bacterial small subunit ribosomal RNA", at positions 400 to 902 of the family's 1533-position model. Lineage: Bacteria; Pseudomonadati; Planctomycetota; Planctomycetia; Planctomycetales; Planctomycetaceae. The record is from RNAcentral.
CGUGCGCGAUGAAGGCCUUCGGGUUGUAAAGCGCUGUCGAGGGGGAGGAAAGCCGGGUAACCGGUCUGACUAAUCCCUGGAGGAAGCACGGGCUAAGUUCGUGCCAGCAGCCGCGGUAAGACGAACCGUGCGAACGUUGUUCGGAAUCACUGGGCUUAAAGGGCGCGUAGGCGGGCGGCCAAGUCAGGAGUGAAAUCUUUCGGCUCAACCGGAAAAGUGCUCUUGAUACUGGCUGUCUUGAGGGAGAUAGGGGCAUGUGGAACUUCCGGUGGAGCGGUGAAAUGCGUUGAUAUCGGAAGGAACGCCGGUGGCGAAAGCGACGUGCUGGACCUCUUCUGACGCUGAGGCGCGAAAGCUAGGGUAGCGAACGGGAUUAGAUACCCCGGUAGUCCUAGCCCUAAACGAUGGGUACUAGGUAGUGACUUGACAUGGGUUUACUGCCGAAGCAAAAGUGCUAAGUACCCCGCCUGGGGAGUAUGGUCGCAAGGCAGAAACUA